UAGGGAAUAUUGGGCAAUGGGGGAAACCCUGACCCAGCAACGCCGCGUGAGGGAAGAAGGUUUUCGGAUUGUAAACCUCUGUCCUAUGUGACGAAGAAAGUGACGGUAGCAUAGGAGGAAGCCCCGGCUAACUACGUGCCAGCAGCCGCGGUAAUACGUAGGGGGCGAGCGUUGUCCGGAAUUACUGGGCGUAAAGGGUGCGUAGGCGGCCGGUUAAGUUGGAGGUGAAAUACCCGUGCUUAACAUGGGGGGUGCAUCGGAAACUGGUUGGCUAGAGUACAGGAGAGGGAAGCGGAAUUCCUAGUGUAGCGGUGAAAUGCGUAGAUAUUAGGAGGAACACCAGUGGCGAAGGCGGCUUUCUGGACUGACACUGACGCUGAGGCACGAAAGCGUGGGGAGCAAACA
This 405-nucleotide ribosomal RNA is filed under the name uncultured prokaryote. Its description in RNAcentral is "bacterial SSU rRNA". It matches the Rfam family "Bacterial small subunit ribosomal RNA", at positions 355 to 774 of the family's 1533-position model. The record is from RNAcentral.